UGGAUGUACUCUAAGACUCAAGACUGCUUGAAGUACUUACAGGACUUGUUAGCCUUGAGGAAAAAAUAUCUUGACAACAUCAAUAAGUUGAAAUCUAUGCAUAUGACUGCAGAUUCCCCAACAUCCACAAAAUCAUCCAAAACUGGAAAGAAGUCAUUUCUUCCGCUUUCCUCCAAAGAGUUUUCUAAGACAUCCAUGGAGAGAAGAAAAGUCCCACAGCCCAAUUCAGAUGUAAGAGAAGCGAUAGCGUUCUUUGACUCGGUUAUUGCAGAUCUGGAUUCAGAGAGAUGCCGGAGAGCUCCUGACAUGGACCUGCCAAAUGCAGAUGUUGAUUUUGAUGGUGAAGUAUAAAACAGAAAAAAUAUGAUUACUUUUGUUGUGCAAUGAGUAGAGGGAAGAGUGGACAUGUAAGACCAAAUUUACUUAAAUG
This 430-nucleotide long non-coding RNA is filed under the name Gallus gallus (chicken). Its description in RNAcentral is "lncRNA (ENSGALG00010004286.1)". Lineage: Eukaryota; Metazoa; Chordata; Aves; Galliformes; Phasianidae. The record is from RNAcentral.